AGCAGCCGCGGUAAUUCCAGCUCCAAUAGCGUAUAUUAAAGUUGUUGCAGUUAAAAAGCUCGUAGUUGAAUUUCGGGAUCGGUACGCUGGUCAUGCCUUUGGUAUGCACUGGUGUCACUGGUUUCUCCCUUCUGAAGAUCCGUGAUGUCAUUAAUUUGGUGUCGCGGGGAAUCAGGACUGUUACUUUGAAAAAUUAGAGUGUUUAAAGCAGGCUCACGCUUGAAUACAUUAGCAUGGAAUAAUGAAAUAGGACGUUUGACCCUUAUUUUGUUGGUUUCUAGGAUCGACGUAAUGAUUAAUAGGGAUAGUUGGGGGCAUUAGUAUUCAAUUGUCAG
Molecule: ribosomal RNA, 335 nt
Filed under: uncultured Glomus
Lineage: Eukaryota; Fungi; Glomeromycota; Glomeromycetes; Glomerales; Glomeraceae
Description: SSU rRNA
Rfam family: Eukaryotic small subunit ribosomal RNA
Source: RNAcentral